GAUGAAGAACGUAGCGAAAUGCGAUAAGUAAUGUGAAUUGCAGAAUUCAGUGAAUCAUCGAAUCUUUGAACGCACAUUGCGCCCGCCAGUAUUCUGGCGGGCAUGCCUGUUCGAGCGUCAUUUCAACCAUCAAGCCCCAGGCUUGUGUUGGGGACCUGCGGCUGCCGCAGGCCCUGAAAACCAGUGGCGGGCUCGCUGUCACACCGGGCGUAGUAGAUUUUAUCUCGCUCAGGGCGUGCUGCGGGUUCCGGCCGUUAAAAAGCUUUUUUUACCCAAGGUUGACCUCGGAUCAGGUAGGAAGACCCGCUGAACUUAAGCAUAUCAAUAAGCGGAGGA
This 336-nucleotide unclassified non-coding RNA is filed under the name soil metagenome. Its description in RNAcentral is "partial contains 5.8S ribosomal RNA, internal transcribed spacer 2, and large subunit ribosomal RNA". The stretch from base 1 to 120 matches the Rfam family "5.8S ribosomal RNA", at positions 35 to 154 of the family's 154-position model. The record is from RNAcentral.